RNAcentral lists this long non-coding RNA (117 nucleotides) under Homo sapiens (human). Its description in RNAcentral is "long intergenic non-protein coding RNA 511". Lineage: Eukaryota; Metazoa; Chordata; Mammalia; Primates; Hominidae. The record is from RNAcentral.
GGAAAAGGGCUCUCUCCGAGACAGCUCAGAGGGCCACUAACCAGGUGGAGAAACGAAACCAGAGGAAGGAUGGGAAGGACUGAUCCACAUUCCCACCAGGAAGUUUAGCAGAACCCC